GCGGCAGGCUUAACACAUGCAAGUCGAGGGGCAGCGGGGAGGAAGCUUGCUUUCUCCGCCGGCGACCGGCGCACGGGUGAGUAACACGUAUGCAACCUGCCCCUGUCAGGGGGACAACCCGCCGAAAGGCGGGCUAAACCCGCGUACAUGCCACCGGGGCAUCCCGGAGGCAGGAAAGGCUUCGGCCGGACAGGGAUGGGCAUGCGGCGCAUUAGGCAGUAGGCGGGGUAACGGCCCACCUAACCGACGAUGCGUAGGGGUUCUGAGAGGAAGGUCCCCCACACUGGUACUGAGACACGGACCAGACUCCUACGGGAGGCAGCAGUGAGGAAUAUUGGUCAAUGGUCGGGAGACUGAACCAGCCAAGCCGCGUGAGGGAGGAAGGUACAGAGUAUCGUAAACCUCUUUUGUCAGGGAACAAAGGCGGGGACGUGUCCCCGGAUGAGUGUACCUGAAGAAAAAGCAUCGGCUAACUCCGUGCCAGCAGCCGCGGUAAUACGGAGGAUGCGAGCGUUAUCCGGAUUUAUUGGGUUUAAAGGGUGCGCAGGCGGUCUGUUAAGUCAGCGGUCAAAGCCCGGGGCUCAACCCCGGCCCGCCGUUGAAACUGGCAGUCUCGAGUUGGAGAGAAGUAUGCGGAAUGCGCGGUGUAGCGGUGAAAUGCAUAGAUAUCGCGCAGAACUCCGAUUGCGAAGGCAGCAUGCCGGCUCCACACUGACGCUGAGGCACGAAAGCGUGGGUAUCGAACAGGAUUAGAUACCCUGGUAGUCCACGCAGUAAACGAUGAAUGCUGGCUGUCCGGGGGGAUUGACCCCUGGGUGGCGAAGCGAAAGCGAUAAGCAUUCCACCUGGGGAGUACGCCGGCAACGGUGAAACUCAAAGGAAUUGACGGGGGCCCGCACAAGCGGAGGAACAUGUGGUUUAAUUCGAUGAUACGCGAGGAACCUUACCCGGGCUCAAACGGGGAGUGACUCAGGCAGAGACGCCUGUUUCCCACGGGACACUCCCCGAGGUGCUGCAUGGUUGUCGUCAGCUCGUGCCGUGAGGUGUCGGCUUAAGUGCCAUAACGAGCGCAACCCCCGCGUGCAGUUGCUAACAGAUAACGCUGAGGACUCUGCACGGACUGCCGGCGCAAGCCGCGAGGAAGGCGGGGAUGACGUCAAAUCAGCACGGCCCUUACGUCCGGGGCGACACACGUGUUACAAUGGGUGGUACAGCGGGAAGCCAGGCGGCGACGCCGAGCGGAACCCGAAAUCCACUCUCAGUUCGGAUCGGAGUCUGCAACCCGACUCCGUGAAGCUGGAUUCGCUAGUAAUCGCGCAUCAGCCAUGGCGCGGUGAAUACGUUCCCGGGCCU
Molecule: ribosomal RNA, 1353 nt
Filed under: uncultured bacterium
Lineage: Bacteria
Description: partial 16S ribosomal RNA
Rfam family: Bacterial small subunit ribosomal RNA
Source: RNAcentral